GAAGUGUGGACGCCAGUCUGCAUGGAGCCGACCUUGAAAUACCACCCUUUAAUGUUUGAUGUUCUAACGUUGACCCGUAAUCCGGGUUGCGGACAGUGUCUGGUGGGUAGUUUGACUGGGGCGGUCUCCUCCUAAAGAGUAACGGAGGAGCACGAAGGUUGGCUAAUCCUGGUCGGACAUCAGGAGGUUAGUGCAAUGGCAUAAGCCAGCUUGACUGCGAGCGUGACGGCGCGAGCAGGUGCGAAAGCAGGUCAUAGUGAUCCGGUGGUUCUGAAUGGAAGGGCCAUCGCUCAACGGAUAAAAGGUACUCCGGGGAUAACAGGCUGAUACCGCCCAAGAGUUCAUAUCGACGGCGGUGUUUGGCACCUCGAUGUCGGCUCAUCACAUCCUGGGGCUGAAGUAGGUCCCAAGGGUAUGGCUGUUCGCCAUUUAAAGUGGUACGCGAGCUGGGUUUAGAACGUCGUGAGACAGUUCGGUCCCUAUCUGCCGUGGGCGCUGGAGAACUGAGGGGGGCUGCUCCUAGUACGAGAGGACCGGAGUGGACGCAUCACUGGUGUUCGGGUUGUCAUGCCAAUGGCACUGCCCGGUAGCUAAAUGCGGAAGAGAUAAGUGCUGAAAGCAUCUAAGCACGAAACUUGCCCCGAGAUGAGUUCUCCCUGACCCUUUAAGGGUCCUGAAGGAACGUUGAAGACGACGACGUUGAUAGGCC
RNAcentral lists this ribosomal RNA (709 nucleotides) under Escherichia coli. RNAcentral's name for it is "partial 23S ribosomal RNA". It matches the Rfam family "Bacterial large subunit ribosomal RNA", at positions 2159 to 2862 of the family's 2925-position model. Lineage: Bacteria; Pseudomonadati; Pseudomonadota; Gammaproteobacteria; Enterobacterales; Enterobacteriaceae. The record is from RNAcentral.